CCGAGUGUAGACUGAUUUAUCAGUUAACCUCCCACCCUUUGUUAUUUUAUACAAUUUGCUUCGGCGGGCCUUUGAACUUGUUCAACAUCGGCUUUGCGGAUGAGCGUCCGCCGAAGAGACAAACUCUUGAAUUUGUAGUCUGAGUUUUACAAACAAAAAUAA
This 162-nucleotide unclassified non-coding RNA is filed under the name uncultured fungus. RNAcentral describes it as "sequence contains ITS1, 5.8S rRNA gene". The record is from RNAcentral. Lineage: Eukaryota; Fungi.